This 1355-nucleotide ribosomal RNA is filed under the name Anguloclavus sp. 2 MNHN IM 2013-9661. Its description in RNAcentral is "16S ribosomal RNA". It matches the Rfam family "Bacterial large subunit ribosomal RNA", at positions 576 to 2817 of the family's 2925-position model. The record is from RNAcentral. Lineage: Eukaryota; Metazoa; Mollusca; Gastropoda; Neogastropoda; Drilliidae.
AUUACAUAAACUUGGGAUAUAAAAUACUUUUCUAUCUAAUAAAAACAUUAACAAAUUUAGUAAAGGUGAUUAAAACUUAUUAUUAAUCUCAAUUAAAGUACUGCAAAGGAAUUAAAUAAUUACAAAAAAGAAAAAAUGAAACCUUGUACCUUUCGCAUCAUGGUUUAACUAGAUUUAUAUUUGUAUAUCCAAAUUCUCGAAAUUUAAUGAGCUAUUUUUGUCCUUAUAUUAGUAAUAGAGACUAAUUGUAGCAAAAAUUUUCUAAGAGAUAAAAAUAGAAAUGAAAUUUUUUUCGCAUUAAAUGAUAGCUAGUUCUUUCAAAAAAGUAUUUAAGUACCUUAGAUCAAGUUUUUAUAUGUGCCACCUAUACUAAACAAAAUUUGAUCUAAACAACUUUUUGAGGAUAAGCUCAAAAAGCAGUUAAUUUAUACAUUACAUUUAUUCUUAAACAUAAGCUUGAAAAUAGCUAAAAAUAUAGAAUUUGUUAUAAUUCAUUUUUUAAAAAUAAAUAUAAUUAAUUUGUUUACACCUACGAAAGAAUUACCAAAAAUCACCAUAUGAAUUACAUUUAUGUUAAAAUGAGUAUUACCUAAUAUAUAUAUAUAUACAACUUUUAGAAUUAAACUUAUCUAAAACUUAUUUUUAUAUUCACCAUUAAAAAUUAUUAUGAAGGAACUCGGCAAAACAUAUUCUACCUGUUUAUUAAAAACAUGGCUCCCUGUACCACUAUAAAUAGGGAGUCGGACCUGCCCAGUGAAAAUUUCAACGGCCGCGGUACUCUGACCGUGCAAAGGUAGCAUAAUCAUUUGUCUUUUAAUUGAAGACUAGUAUGAAUGGUUUGAUAAGAAUAUAACUGUCUCCAUAUAACUUAAUAAAAUUUUAUCAUAAGGUGAAGAAGCCUUAAUUAAAUUAAAAGACAAGAAGACCCUAUCGAGCUUCAGAAAAAUUAAUAGAACACAUAAAUAAACAAAUAAAAAAUUAACUAUUAAAUACUUUGGUUGGGGCGACUGAGGAACAAACAAAGCUUCCUUUAAUAUAAAAAACACUCAAGUACUGAUCCAAACAUUUUGAUUAUAGAAAUUAGUUACCGUAGGGAUAACAGCAUUAUCUUUUUUAAGAGCCCUUAUCGAAAAAAAGGUUUGUGACCUCGAUGUUGGACCAGAAUAUCCUAAAGAUGCAGAAGUCUUUAAGGGUUGGUCUGUUCGACCAUUAAAAUUCUACGUGAUCUGAGUUUAGACCGGCGUGAGCCAGGUCAGUUUCUAUCUUUAAUUCUUUUAAUAAAUUUAGUACGAAAGGACCAAUUUAUUACAUAUAAUGUAAAAAACGAAAAAAUAUAACAAAAAAUUAAAAUUUUA